GGGCGUGUAGCUCAGUGGAUUAGAGUAUGUGGCUACGAACCACAGGGUCGGGGGUUCAAAUCCCUCCAUGCUCA
Molecule: transfer RNA, 74 nt
Filed under: Staurocarteria crucifera
Lineage: Eukaryota; Viridiplantae; Chlorophyta; Chlorophyceae; Chlamydomonadales; Chlamydomonadaceae
Description: tRNA-Arg
Rfam family: tRNA
About the family: Transfer RNA (tRNA) molecules are approximately 80 nucleotides in length.
Source: RNAcentral